UACGUAGGGUGCAAGCGUUAAUCGGAAUUACUGGGCGUAAAGCGCGCGUAGGUGGCUUCGUAAGUCCGUUGUGAAAGUCAAAGGCUCAACCUUUGAAAGCCGAUGGAUACUGCGGAGCUAGAGUACGGAAGAGGCGAGUGGAAUUCCUGGUGUAGCGGUGGAAUGCGCAGAUAUCAGGAGGAACACCAAUAGCGAAGGCAGCUCGCUGGGACGUUACUGACACUAAGGCGCGAAAGCGUGGGGAGCGAACAGG
Molecule: ribosomal RNA, 253 nt
Filed under: uncultured bacterium
Lineage: Bacteria
Description: partial 16S ribosomal RNA
Rfam family: Bacterial small subunit ribosomal RNA
Source: RNAcentral